CCUACGGGUGGCAGCAGUGGGGAAUAUUGCACAAUGGGGGAAACCCUGAUGCAGCGACGCCGCGUGAGUGAAGAAGUAAUUCGUUAUGUAAAGCUCUAUUAGCAGGGAAGAAAAUGACGGUACCUGAGUAAGAAGCCCCGGCCAACUACGUGCCAGAAGCCGCGGUAAUAAGUAGGGGGCCAGCGUUAUCCGGAUUGACUGGGUGUAAAGGGAGCGUAGACGGAAGGGGAAGUCCGGAGUGAAAGGCGGGGGCUCAACCCCCGGAGUGCUCUGGAAAUUGUACGGCUGGAGUGCAGGAGAGGUAAGUGGAAUUCCUGGUGUAGCGGUGAAAUGCGUAGAUAUUAGGAGGAACACCAGUGGCGAAGGCGGCUUACUGGACUGUAACUGACGUUGAGGCUCGAAAGCGUGGGGAGCAAACAGGAUUAGAUACCCUUGUAGUC
Molecule: ribosomal RNA, 440 nt
Filed under: uncultured bacterium
Lineage: Bacteria
Description: partial 16S ribosomal RNA
Rfam family: Bacterial small subunit ribosomal RNA
Source: RNAcentral